AGCCGGGGAGAUAGCGGUGCCCUGUACCUGCAAUCCGCUACAGCAGGGGUGAUGACUGGCCCCGAACUGUUCAUGCGGGGCUGCCUUUGGUAAAUGAUGUUGAUACUUAGGUCUUACGCGACAGGAAUCUGUGAACCGUGUCAGGUUGGGAACAAAGCAGCACUAAGCAGAACCUCUCUGUGCGCCGUGAGGUAGCCUGGGUUGAGUCAGGUGCCAAAGUAACGCU
RNAcentral lists this signal recognition particle RNA (226 nucleotides) under uncultured Eubacterium sp. RNAcentral's name for it is "Bacterial large signal recognition particle RNA". It matches the Rfam family "Bacterial large signal recognition particle RNA", at positions 8 to 231 of the family's 256-position model. From Rfam's summary of the family: The signal recognition particle (SRP) is a universally conserved ribonucleoprotein involved in the co-translational targeting of proteins to membranes. Archaeal SRP consists of a 7S RNA and homologues of the eukaryotic SRP19 and SRP54 proteins. In most bacteria, the SRP consists of a 4.5S RNA and the Ffh protein (a homologue of the eukaryotic SRP54 protein). The record is from RNAcentral. Lineage: Bacteria; Bacillati; Bacillota; Clostridia; Eubacteriales; Eubacteriaceae.